UACGGAGGAUCCGAGCGUUAUCCGGGAUUUAUUGGGUUUAAAGGGUGCGUAGGCGGACUUAUAAGUCAGCGGUGAAAGUUUGCAGCUUAACUGUAAAAUUGCCGUUGAAACUGUUAGUCUUGAGUGUAAAUGAGGUAGGCGGAAUGUGUUGUGUAGCGGUGAAAUGCUUAGAUAUAACACAGAACACCAAUUGCGAAGGCAGCUUACUGGGAUACAACUGACGCUGAGGCACGAAAGCGUGGGGAUCAAACAGGAUUAGAUACCCUGGUAGUCCACGCAGUAAACGAUGAAUACUAACUGUAUGCGAUAUACUGUAUGCGGUACAGCGAAAGCGUUAAGUAUUCCACCUGGGGAGUACGUUCGCAAGAAUGAAACUCAAAGGAAUUGACGGGGGCCCGCACAAGCGGAGGAACAUGUGGUUUAAUUCGAUGAUACGCGAGGAACCUUACCCGGGCUUGAAAUGCAGACGACCGACCAGGAAACUGGUCUUCCAGCAAUGGCGUCUGUGUAGGUGCUGCAUGGUUGUCGUCAGCUCGUGCCGUGAGGUGUCGGCUUAAGUGCCAUAACGAGCGCAACCCUUAUCGUUAGUUGCCAGCAAGUAAAGUUGGGGACUCUAGCGAGACUGCCGGUGUAAACCGUGAGGAAGGUGGGGAUGACGUCAAAUCAGCACGGCCCUUAUAUCCAGGGCUACACGCGUGUUACAAUGGUCGGUACAAAGAGCAGCCACUUGGUGACAAGGCGCUAAUCUCGAAAGCCGAUCUCAGUUCGGAUCGAAGUCUGCAACUCGACUUCGUGAAGUUGGAUUCGCUAGUAAUCGCGCAUCAGCCAUGGCGCGGUGAAUACGUUCCCGGGCCUUGUACACACCGCCCGU
RNAcentral lists this ribosomal RNA (871 nucleotides) under uncultured bacterium. RNAcentral describes it as "bacterial SSU rRNA". It matches the Rfam family "Bacterial small subunit ribosomal RNA", at positions 524 to 1397 of the family's 1533-position model. The record is from RNAcentral.